RNAcentral lists this ribosomal RNA (253 nucleotides) under uncultured bacterium. Its description in RNAcentral is "partial 16S ribosomal RNA". It matches the Rfam family "Bacterial small subunit ribosomal RNA", at positions 524 to 776 of the family's 1533-position model. The record is from RNAcentral.
UACGAAGGGGGCUAGCGUUGCUCGGAAUCACUGGGCGUAAAGGGUGCGUAGGCGGGUUUUUAAGUCAGGGGUGAAAUCCUGGAGCUCAACUCCAGAACUGCCUUUGAUACUGAAGAUCUUGAGUUCGGGAGAGGUGAGUGGAACUGCGAGUGUAGAGGUGAAAUUCGUAGAUAUUCGCAAGAACACCAGUGGCGAAGGCGGCUCGCUGGCCCGAUACUGACGCUGAGGCACGAAAGCGUGGGGAGCAAACAGG